GCGGGGUCGGGGUGGGACGAGGGAUGGGGAACUGGGUGGGUGGGACGAGGGCCUCGGAUCUAGGGCUGUGUGAUGCUAGUCGGGGCAAAGGUUUCCAAGCAGACUGCAGUGCUUGCGUAUUUCCAGGUCCUGUCCCGGGAUUCAGACUCAGAUUAUUGGCGAUUUCAAUUCCUUACAGCCUGUGCCAACAUUGGCAGGAAUAAAGACAAUUCAGCUUUUUGGAAUUCUGCAUUUGGAAGCUGCCUUAUAUGAGGAGCCUAAAAAUCCAAAGACAGGAGUGGCUAGGUGGAAAAAUAGCUAAGGCUGACUUUCUAAGGCAGCAUUAACCACUGUCUUGGUCUUUGGUGUGGUUUGGGGUGAACUUGUUUCUAACCUGUCUAUAAUUAGGUAUCCAGUUUUUCCUAUCUUUAUUCAACUUAGCCAAAUAUUUUAUAGAUAGGGAGGCAGAACCAUCAAGUUUCUAAAGGAAUUACUUAGCAUUACAAAGAGAUCAAGGUUGUGUGAGAAUAAAGGAUUGACUACCAUUUUGACUGAAGUGAGC
RNAcentral lists this long non-coding RNA (541 nucleotides) under Vulpes vulpes (red fox). RNAcentral describes it as "lncRNA (ENSVVUG00000016273.1)". Lineage: Eukaryota; Metazoa; Chordata; Mammalia; Carnivora; Canidae. The record is from RNAcentral.